AUGACGCGCACAUGAAUGCAGAUGUUUUCUCCUGAGCCUUAUUUUUUAAAUCCCUGCAUUAAUAUUUUCUUUGGACUUGACUGUGCCAGAGUGCACGUGUACGCGUUCAGUGCUGUCCAGCAGAGGGCAGCAGAGGCCCACCCACAGCUGCUUCAGUCCAGCGGGUGGUGAUAAAGCCGAAGACUGUAGUGCAAAGAUGAUGGAUGUGAAGCAUGAGAGGAGAGCGUGAGGAGGAGCUGCUGGCAGCGUUCUGCUGUAAAACCGGUGGAGGGGGCGGUGGUGCAGAAGGAGUCAGAUUGAGCUGACUGACCAAGGACAGCUGUGGAUGAAGAAUGAAGAGCCGGGCGCUGUUCACUGAGCUGAGGGAGGAACAGCUGCUG
Molecule: long non-coding RNA, 380 nt
Organism: Oreochromis aureus
Lineage: Eukaryota; Metazoa; Chordata; Actinopteri; Cichliformes; Cichlidae
Source: Ensembl